GCCAGGUGCGGUGGCGUGCGCCUGUAAUUCCAGCUACUUGGGAGGCUGAGGCAGGAGAACUGCUUGAACCCGGGAGGCAGAGGUUGCAGUGAGCCAAGAUUGUGCCACUGCACUCCAGCCUGGGUGACAGAGCGAGACUCUGUCUCAA
Molecule: non-coding RNA, 148 nt
Filed under: Chlorocebus sabaeus (green monkey)
Lineage: Eukaryota; Metazoa; Chordata; Mammalia; Primates; Cercopithecidae
Source: Rfam by way of RNAcentral